UGGGGAAUUUUGGACAAUGGGCGAAAGCCUGAUCCGGCAAUGCCGCGUGUGUGAAGAAGGCCUUCGGGUUGUAAAGCACUUUUGUCCGGAAAGAAAUCCUUGGCUCUAAUACAGUCGGGGGAUGACGGUACCGGAAGAAUAAGCACCGGCUAACUACGUGCCAGCAGCCGCGGUAAUACGUAGGGUGCAAGCGUUAAUCGGAAUUACUGGGCGUAAAGCGUGCGCAGGCGGUUUGCUAAGACCGAUGUGAAAUCCCCGGGGCUCAACCUGGGAACUGCAUUGGUGACUGGCAGGCUAGAGUAUGGCAGAGGGGGGUAGAAUUCCACGUGUAGCAGUGAAAUGCGUAGAGAUGUGGAGGAAUACCGAUGGCGAAGGCAGCCCCCUGGGCCAAUACUGACGCUCAUGCACGAAAGCGUGGGGAGCAAACAGGAUUAGAUACCCUGGUAGUCCACGCCCUAAAACGAUGUCAACUAGUUGUUGGGGAUUCAUUUCCUUAGUAACGUAGCUAACGCGUGAAGUUGACCGCCUGGGGAGUACGGUCGCAAGAUU
RNAcentral lists this ribosomal RNA (549 nucleotides) under uncultured bacterium. Its description in RNAcentral is "partial 16S ribosomal RNA". It matches the Rfam family "Bacterial small subunit ribosomal RNA", at positions 355 to 895 of the family's 1533-position model. The record is from RNAcentral.